CAAUAGCGUAUAUUAAAGUUGUUGCGGUUAAAAAGUUCGUAGUUGGGUUUCUGUUGAGGACGACCGGUCCGCCCUCUGGGUGAGUAUCUGGCUCAGCCUUGGCAUCUUCUUGGAGAACGUAACUGCACUUGACUGUGUGGUGCGGUAUCCAGGACUUUUACUUUGAGGAAAUUAGGCGUACGCCUUGAAUACAUAGCAUGGAAUAAUGAGAUAGGACCUUGGUUCUAUUUUGUUGGUUUCUAGAGCUGAGGUAAUGAUUAAUAGGGAUAGGUGGGGGCAUUCGUAUUUAAUUUUCAGAGGUGAAAUUCUUGGAUUUAUUAAAGACGGACUACUGCGAAAGCAUUUGCCAAGGAUGUUUUCAUUGAUGAAGAACGAAAGUUAGGGGUUCGAAGAUGAUUAGAUACCAU
Molecule: ribosomal RNA, 407 nt
Filed under: uncultured eukaryote
Lineage: Eukaryota
Description: SSU rRNA
Rfam family: Eukaryotic small subunit ribosomal RNA
Source: RNAcentral